GACGAACGCUGGCGGCGUGCUUAACACAUGCAAGUCGAACGGUGAAGCGCCUUCCUUUUUGGUGGGUGUGGAUGAGUGGCGAACGGGUGAGUAACACGUGAGUAACCUGCCCCCUUCUUCUGGAUAACCGCAUGAAAGUGUGGCUAAUACGGGAUAUUCUGGGUCUGUGGCGUGAUGGGUCUGGGAAAGAUGUUGUUUCGGUGGGGGAUGGGCUCGCGGCCUAUCAGCUUGUUGGGGGGGUGAUGGCCUACCAAGGCGGUGACGGGUAGCCGGGCUGGUGGGGUGGCCGGUCACACUGGGGAGGAGCCACGGCCGGGCCUAGUAAGGGCCGCAGCAGCGGGGAGUAUUGGACAAUGGGCGCAAGCCUGAUGCAGCGACGGCGCGAGAGGGAUGGAGGCCUUCGGGGUGUGAACCUCUUUCGCCAGUGAAGCAGGCCUGCCUCGUGUGUGGGUGGGUUGACGGUAGCUGGAGAAGAAGCGCCGGCUAACUACGUG
Molecule: ribosomal RNA, 494 nt
Filed under: uncultured bacterium
Lineage: Bacteria
Description: partial 16S ribosomal RNA
Rfam family: Bacterial small subunit ribosomal RNA
Source: RNAcentral